CCUACGGGAGGCAGCAGUGGGGAAUAUUGCACAAUGGGGGAAACCCUGAUGCAGCGACGCCGCGUGAGCGAUGAAGUAUUUCGGUAUGUAAAGCUCUAUCAGCAGGGAAGAAAAUGACGGUACCUGACUAAGAAGCCCCGGCUAACUACGUGCCAGCAGCCGCGGUAAGACGUAGGGGGAAAGCGUUAUCCGGAUUUGCUGGGUGUAAAGGUAGCGUAGACGGCGGUGCAAGCCAGAUGUGAAAGCCCGGGGCUCAACCCCGGGACUGCAGUUGGAACUGGGCUGCUAGAGUGUCGGAGAGGCAGGCGGAAUUCCUGGUGUAGCGGUGAAAUGCGUAGAUAUUAGGAGGAACACCAGUGGCGAAGGCGACCAGCUGGACGAUGACUGACGUUGAGGCUCGAAAGCGUGGGGAGCAAACAGGAUUAGAUACCCCAGUAGUC
Molecule: ribosomal RNA, 440 nt
Filed under: uncultured bacterium
Lineage: Bacteria
Description: partial 16S ribosomal RNA
Rfam family: Bacterial small subunit ribosomal RNA
Source: RNAcentral